Molecule: ribosomal RNA, 468 nt
Filed under: uncultured bacterium
Lineage: Bacteria
Description: partial 16S ribosomal RNA
Rfam family: Bacterial small subunit ribosomal RNA
Source: RNAcentral
GACGAACGCUGGCGGCGUGCUUAACACAUGCAAGUCGGACGAAAAGGCCUUGCUUUUGUGGGGUGCUCGAGUGGCGAACGGGUGUGAAACGCGAGAGUAACCUUCACUUGUCUUUGGGAUGCCUUCAGGAAGCUGAGUAUAAUACCAGAUAGGAGCUCCUGCCGCAUGGUGGGGGUUGGAAAGUUUCGGCGGUUGGAGAUGGGCUCGCGGCUUAUCAGCUUGUUGGUGGGGUAGUGGCUUACCAAGGCUUUGACGGGUAGCCGGCCUGAGAGGGGGACCGGCCACAUUGGGACUGAGAUACGGCCCAGACUCCUACGGGAGGCAGCAGUGGGGAAUAUUGCACAAUGGGCGGAAGCCUGAUGCAGCAACGCCGCGUGCGGGAUGACGGCCUUCGGGUUGUAAACCGCUGUCGCCUGUGACGAAGAGUGAGUGACGGUAAUGGGUAAAGAAGCACCGGCUAACUACGUG